GCCACUGCGCCUGGCCCACCACGCUAAUUUUAAAAAUGUUUUGCAAAGACAGGGUUUCGCCAUGUUGCCUAGGCUGGUCUCAAACUCCUAGCCUCAAGCAAUCCUCCCGCCUCAGCCUCCCAAAGUGCUGGGAUUACAGGCGUAAGCCAUGGAGCCCAGUCUUAAAUUUCCCCUUUAGCACAAUCCAGACACUCAAUCUUUUCUUUCUUUUUUUUUUUUAAUUCAAAAUACCAUUGUACAGCUUAUCCUUCUGAAAUGAUCUAUUCCCUUUGUCUUGCUAUUCUAACUAUGUAAAUUUUCCUGCCAGAUUUAAUUCACACCUAUGAAAGAGGGCAACACAACAGACAUUACCACUAUCAGAAAACCACUCAAGUAGGGCCAUCAGUAUCACCUUCAAAUGUCAUCACACCGUUAUUAGUAUUGCUGUUAUCUAUGAAACAAAAUCUAAAUUAUUACCAGCUCUGCCUUCCACAACUAGUGCCUCCCCAUUCCUCUCACGUGACAGGACGCCCUGAAAUCCCCGCUAGGCAACAAUGCUAAAUGAAACUGGCAGUCUUCCCUUCUCAUGUGGCAUCAGGCUUUUUCUGUCUUGAGUAAGGGCUGUCUUUACCAUGCAUGAUUCCCAACAGCACUGCUCUUGAUCCCUGAGUGGAGACCCACACCCUGUGGGGCUUCCCUACCAGCUCCAACCCCUUUCACCAUCCCCUGCUCAGCCUUCAAGGCCUGAGGUAGGAGGGAAAAGCCAGGAUGAAGUGCCAGUCAAAAGGAUCACCCUUCCCCUACUCCAUUCUCCCCUCUCCUGUCACCCAUUUCUGACUGGCCGUCAAUCCUAUCAGGGGUCCAUAAAGCUAGGAGGACUCUGGCCCGGGAGAGGGGGGUAGGGGUUAGGCAAACAGGCCAGGGAGGCCGUUGGUUGAAAUUUAACCACAAUAUUCUCGGUCUCUAUUGUUUUGAGUGAGGCCCAAUAUUUCCACAGCAGGAUUAUAGGAUCUGAUUAACCAUGUUAGACAACAAUGCCGAGCUGGGAUGGGCUUCCCCUUCCAGCUGCCAAUAUGAAAAAGUAAAUACAACACAUUUCAGAAGGGACUCCCAGCAGCCCCUGAACCCUACUCCCCAAUUCUAACUCUGCUACUGUUUUGGGCCCCAGAGUAAGGGCAGAGAGGAAGAGUGUGGCACUGCAUGCUCCUUUAACUACUGGCCCUUGGCCCAGCAGGACAAGUAAUCCUAGCACAAUCUUCCCAGGUGAGUCAAUGGCUGUGUGCUCCCCACACCCUGGAGCUCUUCCAGUGCUUCUUCCGGGUUCCCCUGGUAGGCUGGCCCAGAUUCUUGAGAACCCAUAAGAGUUGGGUGCUGAGUGGGUGGAAGGAUAGCAAAAUCUGUUGGGCUCCAAAUAGAGAAACUGAGUGGGGUGGGACUUAAUAGCUCAGAAGAGUGAUGAAGCCUUUGCUAGAAUACUUGGGUGCUACCUAAUGACUUCCUAUGUGCUAGGAUAGAGAACUGAGAGCCCAGAGCUGAGAGGAUACAUAAAAGGCCACCACAAAAAAAGUCUCAGAAGAUGGGAUGAAAGAUCAAGAAAGAUGGACUUCUAGAUGUUCAAAUAGAGAAGGAUUCCCUAUGGUCCCUCUUCCUCACAUAAGACAAGCUACCUCAUACCCUCCAUGCACUGGAUGUUCCGCUCAUGGUCAAGUUCCUGCAGGAACUUCC
RNAcentral lists this long non-coding RNA (1704 nucleotides) under Homo sapiens (human). RNAcentral's name for it is "HSALNT0047411". The record is from RNAcentral. Lineage: Eukaryota; Metazoa; Chordata; Mammalia; Primates; Hominidae.